RNAcentral lists this transfer RNA (69 nucleotides) under Yanocephalus yanonis. RNAcentral's name for it is "tRNA-Gln". Lineage: Eukaryota; Metazoa; Arthropoda; Insecta; Hemiptera; Cicadellidae. The record is from RNAcentral.
UAAGUUAUGGUGUAUGAUGCACAUAGAGUUUUGAUUUCUAUGGAUUAAGUUUAAUUCUUAAUGAUUUAA